UAAUACAGAGGGGGCAAGCGUUAUUCGGAAUUAUUGGGCGUAAAGGGCGCGUAGGCGGCUUUUCAAGUGACGGGUGAAAUCCCUCGGCUUAACCGAGGAACUGCCUGUCAGACUGGAAGGCUUGAGACCGGGAGAGGUGAGUGGAAUUCCCAGUGUAGCGGUGAAAUGCGUAGAUAUUGGGAGGAACACCAGUGGCGAAGGCGGCUCACUGGACCGGAACUGACGCUGAGGCGCGAAAGCGUGGGGAGCAAACAGGAUUAGAUACCCUGGUAGUCCACGCCGUAAACGAUGGGCGCUAGGUGUGGGCGGUGUCGACUCCGUCCGUGCCGAAGCUAACGCAUUAAGCGCCCCGCCUGGGGAGUACGGCCGCAAGGCUA
RNAcentral lists this ribosomal RNA (377 nucleotides) under uncultured bacterium. Its description in RNAcentral is "bacterial SSU rRNA". It matches the Rfam family "Bacterial small subunit ribosomal RNA", at positions 521 to 896 of the family's 1533-position model. The record is from RNAcentral.